GCACCUCAGUGAUUCCGGCUGUGAAAGCCUUCGACAAUACAUUGAAAUUUAACUUAUUAUAAUUUUAGGGUUUGGUUUGGAUUCCAGAGCUACAGUUCUCUUGAUCUAUUUAAGUAUGGUCAUAUUAGUCUUUAUAGAAAAUAAGAAAAAAUUUUCCCACCUUUGAGUUUGUAUCUUUCUAUACAGAUUGUGUGCUUUUGAUAGGCUAGUACUGUUUCAUCAGAGACUACUGGGACUGUUGGCACUUCAUACUGUGUGGUCUUGUGCCAUUAUGUGAUUUUUGCUGUAGUACUUUCUUUAUUUGAUUUAAUGUUUUCCAUUUUGGCCCCAGUCGCCAACUUUUUCCUCAUAUUAUCCUGGCAUUUUAGUAUGUUGCUCAGUGUUCCCCCUGGAGAUGAAAGCAUCAUAUCAUUACUUGCCAGUGGAAUAAGAGUAGGGAAGCAAACUGGAGGUCUUCCCAAGAACAGCAACGCCUGGGAACCCCCGGUGCAUUUUUGUGUGAUGAGCUAUACAGUGCCUUUUGCUACCUUGCUGAUGGGACUGCUGCUGAGCAGAACCAUGGCCUGGACCUCGACUGGGAAGACACAUGCUGAAUUGAUCAACAACCUUUACAAAAAUGGUGUGAUUAAGUCUCAGCGAGUCUAUGAUGUAUUACUGGCCACAGACCGAGCACACUACACCAAGUAUUUUCCAUAUAUGGAUUCUCCUCAAUCCAUUGGAUACCAGGCUACAAUCAGUGCACCUCACAUGCAUGCUCAUGCUCUAGAGUUACUGAAGGAUCAGUUAGUGGAAGGAGCCUUGGCACUGGAUGUGGGAUCAGGAAGUGGAUACCUCACGGCGUGCUUUGCUAGGAUGGUGGGUCCCACAGGGAAGGCAGUGGGAAUUGAACACAUUGAAGAUUUGGUUCAUGAAUCCAUCAGAAAUGUCAGAGAGGAUGAUGCAACUUUGCUUAGCUCUGGACGUGUGAAACUUCUAGUUGGGGAUGGCAGAAAGGGGUACCCUGAAGAAGCCCCUUAUGAUGCCAUCCAUGUUGGAGCAGCUGCACCCACAGUGCCAAACGAGCUGCUGAAUCAGUUGAAACUUGGAGGACGACUAAUUUUGCCUGUAGGGCCUGAGGGUGGAAACCAGGUUAUGAUGCAGUAUGACAAAACUGAAGAUGGAAAUAUUGUGGAGAAGCAACUUAUGGGUGUAAUCUAUGUUCCUCUGACAGAUAAGGAGAAACAAUGGCCUCGGUAAAAUAUUAAUGAGCUCUUCUCCUCUUUUGCAAGGCACAGCUGUAAAAAAGUUCACUUUUCCUAUAGUUACAUCUUAAUAGUGAAAAGAAAAUCCCUAACCACUACCCUUUGUACUAGGCAAUGCAAAGAAAUUGGGUGCAGUGCAGCUAUUAUAAGAGUUCAUAAAAGUAGAAAUAGGAAAGUGCCUUGGGAACCACAGAAAAGAAACUCGUAGCUUCAGUUUCUUAUUCCAUAUAACGAUGUCAGUAUUUUUAAAUCUUUGCUGCAGACACAAACCGUCUAAACUAAUAAUAAAUAACAAUCACACUGAUCUUUCAUGCUUUGUCCAAUGAGCUCAGGACCACGUAUGUGACUAGUCCCAUUUUAUCCCACUGCAUAAGAACAUAAGAACUAUGGGUGUAAUCUAUGUUCCUCUGACAGAUAAGGAGAAACAAUGGCCUCGGGAUGAAAUUUAAAUGAGUUAAAUCACUUGUAAAGGAUCUCUUGGAAAGCCUGUCAACCGUGCUUGGAUCAGGCAUUCAUAUGCUGCAUAUACACACAUAUAAGGCUUUGGGUUUUUUUAAUGAACCUUUUCUCUACGCCCUUGGUAAUAUCACAAAUACAAUUUUGGGUAAUGAGACUGUCUGGAGACAGACUCCCCAGAAUCUUUAUUCCCAAGAACUGUUGCAGCUGUGACCAAUCAUUUAAGUAAAUUUAAAAAUAACUUUAAUGUUGGUUCAGCUGUCUUUUUCUUUUUUUGUAGAUUAUGGUAUAUUUUAAAUGUACCUUUAAUGCUAGUUGGAAAAUGUUCCUGUUUGAACAUCUACUGCUGAAAGUGACAUAGUGGAUCAGUUAAUAAAAAAUUAAACCUG
RNA transcript from Sphaerodactylus townsendi, 2086 nucleotides. It is a transcript of the gene named protein-L-isoaspartate(D-aspartate) O-methyltransferase-like, with no coding region annotated. Lineage: Eukaryota; Metazoa; Chordata; Lepidosauria; Squamata; Sphaerodactylidae. The transcript is spliced from 9 exons. The record is from RefSeq and is a predicted model, not a curated record.